CCCUCUCAGCAGCCUCCUCCCACCUCUCUCAAAUGCAAAUGGAUUUCUCAAUAUCCUCUCCGUUCUUUACACUUUGAACCCCUUUUCUUUACAGCCUUAUGCUGCACCCCGGAUCUUUAUCCUUAACAUUCAACUCAACAAAUGCUUAUGGAGUGCCAACUAUGGGCAAAGCCCUGUGAUAAACAGAGUGCAAGAUGUAAAGCUGAGGAAGGUCCCUGCUCUCAGUUUAGAUUCUAGCCAGAGAGCUCAGGCCAGGUAAAGUAGAGGAAGCAGAGAGUACAAAUCAGGGCCCUGUUUUUUGACCAGCUGAUGCAGAAAGGGCAGGCGGGACUGAGGCUGUGAGCACACAGGAGGGCCUGGGCAGACGAGGGCAUGAUGGUACGCAGAUCAACUACAAGACUGACUGUCCACACCUCCUCUCUCAAAUGAGGCGCUCCCUUCAACUACUUAAAAACAGGUGCCGUUUAUUAUUAUUGCCAUUACCUUCAGCUCCCGUUUUCUCCUAAGCUGGAUAUGAUCUGGGAUCUUCCAAGGCUGGGUGUGAGGCAGACUCAGCUCCAAGAUGGCAGAUCCCUUUCCAUAAACAUUUGCUUGAGGUUCUACUUUGACCUGAGUACGAAAUCCUAUUUGUCAACUGAGUUCUGCGGCCAACCUUUCAAUAGGAGGAAGUACCAUAUAAUUUCGAAGAAGUUUCUAGCAGACGAAUUGGUCACAAAUUUUGAAGUCAAGAAAAAUCGUCUAUUUUGAAAAUGAGGUGGGAGCCCCAAACCAGAGGACUGAUGUGAAUGAACAGCUGAGCAAGGGUGAAGUCUCUCUGUUCAGAAGGGGCAGUGCUAAGCUCUCCCGGAGGGUGGCCACGUGGGGCUACUGAACCCUUGAAAUGUGGCUAGUGUGAAUUGGGAUAUAUACCGUAGGCAUAAACAUACACUGGAUUUUGAAGACGUCGUACAAAAAAAAAGCCACCAUAAAAUACCUCAAAAAAUUUAAAUAACAAUUAUGUUAUAAUGGUAAUAUUUCAGACAUAUUGAGUUAAAUAUUUUAUUAGAAUAUUAUUAGAUUUUAUUAAACUUAACCUCACCUGGGGCGCCUGGGUGGCUCAGCCGAUUAAACGUCCGACUCUUGCUUUCAGCUCAGAUCAUGAUCUCGUGAUUUCGUGAGUUCGAGCCCUGCAUCGGGCUCUGUACUGACAGCUUGGAGACCGCUUGGGAUUCUCCGCCCAUCCCCCUCUCUCUGCCCCUCCCCUACUCAUGCUGUCUCUGUUCCUCUCAAAAUAAAUAAACUUAAAAAAAAUUAACUUCA
RNAcentral lists this long non-coding RNA (1299 nucleotides) under Felis catus (domestic cat). RNAcentral describes it as "lncRNA (ENSFCAG00000051394.1)". Lineage: Eukaryota; Metazoa; Chordata; Mammalia; Carnivora; Felidae. The record is from RNAcentral.